Molecule: ribosomal RNA, 197 nt
Filed under: uncultured Nitrosospira sp.
Lineage: Bacteria; Pseudomonadati; Pseudomonadota; Betaproteobacteria; Nitrosomonadales; Nitrosomonadaceae
Description: partial 16S ribosomal RNA
Rfam family: Bacterial small subunit ribosomal RNA
Source: RNAcentral
ACUCCUACGGGAGGCAGCAGUGGGGAAUUUUGGACAAUGGGGGAAACCCUGAUCCAGCCAUGCCGCGUGAGUGGAGAAGGCCUUCGGGUUGUAAAGCUCUUUCAGCCGGAACGAAACGGUCACGGCUAAUACCUGUGAUCACUGACGGUACCGGAAGAAGAAGCACCGGCUAACUACGUGCCAGCAGCCGCGGUAAU